RNAcentral lists this ribosomal RNA (577 nucleotides) under Hanseniaspora opuntiae. Its description in RNAcentral is "partial large subunit ribosomal RNA". It matches the Rfam family "Eukaryotic large subunit ribosomal RNA", at positions 80 to 664 of the family's 3401-position model. Lineage: Eukaryota; Fungi; Ascomycota; Saccharomycetes; Saccharomycodales; Saccharomycodaceae. The record is from RNAcentral.
UUAGUACGGCGAGUGAAGCGGUAAAAGCUCAAAUUUGAAAUCUGGUACUUUCAGUGCCCGAGUUGUAAUUUGUAGAAUUUGUCUUUGAUUAGGUCCUUGUCUAUGUUCCUUGGAACAGGACGUCAUAGAGGGUGAGAAUCCCGUUUGGCGAGGAUACCUUUUCUCUGUAAGACUUUUUCGAAGAGUCGAGUUGUUUGGGAAUGCAGCUCAAAGUGGGUGGUAAAUUCCAUCUAAAGCUAAAUAUUGGCGAGAGACCGAUAGCGAACAAGUACAGUGAUGGAAAGAUGAAAAGAACUUUGAAAAGAGAGUGAAAAAGUACGUGAAAUUGUUGAAAGGGAAGGGCAUUUGAUCAGACAUGGUGUUUUUUGCAUGCACUCGCCUCUCGUGGGCUUGGGCCUCUCAAAAAUUUCACUGGGCCAACAUCAAUUCUGGCAGUAGGAUAAAUCAUUAAGAAUGUAGCUACCUCGGUAGUGUUAUAGCUUAUUGGAAUACUGCUAGCUGGGAUUGAGGACUGCGCUUCGGCAAGGAUGUUGGCAUAAUGGUUAAAUGCCGCCCGUCUUGAACACGGGACCAAUAA